Molecule: ribosomal RNA, 439 nt
Filed under: uncultured bacterium
Lineage: Bacteria
Description: bacterial SSU rRNA
Rfam family: Bacterial small subunit ribosomal RNA
Source: RNAcentral
AACGCGAAGAACCUUACCUACCCUUGACAUCCUGCGAAGUUUGAAGAGAUUCAGACGUGCCGAAAGGAACGCAGAGACAGGUGCUGCAUGGCUGUCGUCAGCUCGUGUUGUGAGAUGUUGGGUUAAGUCCCGUAACGAGCGCAACCCUUGUCCUUAGUUGCCAGCAUUUAGUUGGGGACUCUAAGGAGACUGCCGGUGAGGAACCGGAGGAAGGCGGGGACGACGUCAAGUCAUCAUGGCCUUUAUGGGUAGGGCUACACACGUGCUACAAUGGGGCGUACAGAGGGUCGCGAACCCGCGAGGGGGAGCCAAUCUCAUAAAGCGUCUCGUAGUCCGGAUUGGAGUCUGCAACUCGACUCCAUGAAGUUGGAAUCGCUAGUAAUCGCGAAUCAGCAUUGUCGCGGUGAAUACGUUCCCGGGCCUUGUACACACCGAUAGC